CCUACGGGAGGCAGCAGUAGGGAAUUGUUCGCAAUGGGCGCAAGCCUGACGACGCAACGCCGCGUGGAGGACGAAGAUCUUCGGGUCGUAAACUCCUGUCGAGCGGGAAGAACAGCGUGCGGGUUAAUACCCCGCACGCCCGACGGUACCGCUAGAGGAAGCCCCGGCUAACUCCGUGCCAGCAGCCGCGGUAAUACGGGGGGGGCAAGCGUUGUUCGGAAUUACUGGGCGUAAAGGGCUCGUAGGCGGCCAGCUAAGUCGGUUGUGAAAUCCCCCGGCUCAACCGGGGAACUGCGACCGAUACUGGUUGGCUUGAAGCCGGGAGAGGGAUGCGGAAUUCCAGGUGUAGCGGUGAAAUGCGUAGAUAUCUGGAGGAACACCCGUGGCGAAGGCGGCAUCCUGGACCGGUCUUGACGCUGAGGAGCGAAAGCCAGGGUAGCAAACGGGAUUAGAUACCCCGG
Molecule: ribosomal RNA, 461 nt
Filed under: uncultured bacterium
Lineage: Bacteria
Description: bacterial SSU rRNA
Rfam family: Bacterial small subunit ribosomal RNA
Source: RNAcentral